GAGUAAUACUGGGGAAGCAGCAGCUGAAAGAAUAGAUGUGAAGUAAAUACAUUCCAAAUGGUCAGGGUGGCUGGGUCUUGCUGCAUCCAAUAAUCUAGCUUGCUUCCUGCACAAAUUAGGUGCUCGCUCCCUGAGUCAUGAAGAAUUAGUUGCACAGACUCCAAAAUGAUUUUCUUCUCAGCAGAUUGAGCCAGGCAGUCUCUGAAGAGAGCAAAUAGUUCCAGCAGGCAGUCUUUUCAAUUUCUCCAGGCAAUUUUACAUCAAACUACUUGGAAUGUGACCUUGUGCAAAAGGGCCUGUUAAUGGGAACACAACUGUCCUACGCAGUGUGGUUUUACUGUAACACCUAAACUUUCAGAGUGAUUUCUGCAAAACUCGACAUACAAUCCUUAUUAAAUGUGUUAUUCUGUAUGAACUUCCAGAAUACCUAAAUUAUCAUGGAUUUCUUAAUUUAUCUAUGGUAAUCCAUCUCUUGAGGAUCAGCAGUGUUAACUUUCUACUCAAUGGAUGUCACAGACCCAUUUGAUGUGGGGACAACUGGGUAAAGACUCUAAAAUAAUUCAGCAGAAGUCAGCUUCCCCAGUGAGGCAGUGCAAAGAAGGGGAAAGAGCCUCCCCUCCACCCCUCUUAAUCAAGUCCACCUGAGCAGUUAACCUCUCCCAGGCCAUGACUUCAAGCAGGGCUUUUUUCAGCUGGAACUCACCGCAACUCAGUUCCAGCACCCAUCAGGUGGGUGCCAUUAUAACAAAACAAGGGAGGUGUUAAUGGUAAAUUCCAACCCCUCUUUUUCUAGAAAAGUAGUGCUGAAUUUAAGAACAGCAGAAGCAGCUGAUAAGGGAGAAGAGGAGUUCUGGGAUUUAAAUAAUCAUUUUGUGAGUUGUGUGUUUGUUUUUCAAUUUGAUCCUCUUACAUAGUUUUGUAUGUAUUGUGAUAUUUUAUAAAUUGUGACUUUCAGUUAUUUUUAUUUAUCAUAGUUUAGUAAUUAUAUAUUGUAAUGGCUAAGUGUGAAUUUCUGUUUAAUUAUUACAGUGGUACCUCAGGUUACAUAUGCUUCAGGUUACAUACGCUUCAGGUUACAGACUCUGCUAACCCAGAAAUAGUGCUUCAGGUUAAGAACUUUGCUUCAGGCUAUUAUGGCCUUUGACGCUUAAACAAUUAGGAAAUCACAUUGGAUGUAAUUGAGAGAGGCAGUAAUACAGUGGAUAAGAACGCUGAAGUGCCAGGUUUAGUUCUACUUCGACAUUUUUCAAAGAAAAAAAGUUUGUUUCAUCACACUUUUCACUGACAGCUAAGGUUACAAUUUCUAACACAAGGCAUGCUGUGAUGUGUCCCAAGUCAUUUUGUAAUGAAACAGCACUACCUGAAGGCUUGUUAAAAGGAUGAACAGCAGGUGGGGAACCUGAAGCUUUCUAAAAGCAUGCAGGAAAGUUAUUGAAAAAUAAAAUUCAAGCUGAAAAUUCAUGAACUUGAGUAAGACUUUAAGAGAAGCAAGCUGUCAAUCCUAGUGUUUCUGAAGCAACACUAAUCCAACAUACAUAUUCCUAUUCUCCCAAAUCCAUGGGAUGGAUCCAUAGGCAGAUGAGCAAAACUCUGUGCUGGCAACAGGGCUUUCCUGGCUCCUCCCUCAUUACAGACUUUUGCACCUUGAAAAGCCACUCCUUAUAGGGCACAAAUGGUUGGAACGGGAUAGGGAAAUUUCACAAGGAGAAGAUCCUUCUGUAUGCAAAAGAUGUCUCUCGAUCUGAGCCUGUGCAUUUUCCAGUGGUGUUAAUGGCAGCUGUAUGUAGGAAUGGGGGUGAGUGGGAUUCAAUUUAAUUCACAUUUGAAGGUAAAACUACCUAAAUCAACUUUCCAAAGCAGUACAUGAACCAAAAUGCAUCAACCCUUCGAAAUUCACAUUUCUCUGAGUUUGCAGUGCACUUCUCCAGCCAAGUAAUGUACACAAGAAAUCAUGUUCUUGGGUAAAGUGUGUAUUAAAAUGCAUAUAUUAGUGAAAGCAACAUAAUUAUAAUACAAAACUUUGGGAAAAUGUGUACAUUAGGCAAAAGUGUGUACAAAAAUAUGUAUAUUAGGAUAAAUUCACCCUAAAAUGUAUUAUUUUAUUAACAGUAUUGCUACGAGUUUGUCAUGGUCUUAGGCUACAAAUAAACUUAUGAACUAACUGAGA
RNAcentral lists this long non-coding RNA (2167 nucleotides) under Podarcis muralis (Common wall lizard). RNAcentral's name for it is "lncRNA (ENSPMRG00000014657.1)". The record is from RNAcentral. Lineage: Eukaryota; Metazoa; Chordata; Lepidosauria; Squamata; Lacertidae.